This 253-nucleotide ribosomal RNA is filed under the name uncultured bacterium. RNAcentral describes it as "partial 16S ribosomal RNA". It matches the Rfam family "Bacterial small subunit ribosomal RNA", at positions 524 to 776 of the family's 1533-position model. The record is from RNAcentral.
UACGUAGGGUGCAAGCGUUAAUCGGAAUUACUGGGCGUAAAGCGUGCGCAGGCGGUUGUGCAAGACCGAUGUGAAAUCCCCGGGCUUAACCUGGGAAUGGCAAUGGAUACUGGCAGGCUAGAGUGCGGUAGAGGGUAGUGGAAUUCCCGGUGUAGCGGUGAAAUGCGUAGAGAUCGGGAGGAAUACCAGUGGCGAAGGCGGCCGGCUGGGCCACGACCGACACUGAGGUGCGAAAGCGUGGGGAGCGAACCGG